CUUGCUAUGAACUCCUGAUAUGUUAUGAUUCAUACUUUCACUUCUGUUUCUUAAUACUAUCAUUUUGAAAAAGUGAAAAUGAAACUGUUUCAUUGGUGAACAGUUCACAAGGGAGAAGAAAAGUCCUUCUGCCUCACCAUCCUAGAGCACUGGGAUUACAAGAAUGCACCGUCAUGGCUGGAUACACACAGUGCCUUGCAGGAGUCACAAUUAAUCAUGCCUCACCUGGAAACCAGUGCCAAAAUGACUCUGCUAAUAGAAUCCAUCAACUGCUGAAAUAAGUGAUUGCACUGAAAGUUACUUUAUUGGAUUGAACUUGGGACCUUGUGCCUAUGAGGCAGGUGGUGGAAACACUGAGCUAAAUCCUUGGCCCUGGUUGAUUUCUUGAUAGCAGCCAUUCUUUCUGGGGUACAGCUGCAUAAAAGUGUGCCCCAGCCUAGGGAGAAGAACCAACCACACUCCCCUUGGAGGCUGAGAGGUCCCUAUCUGGAGAAGCAAAGUCUGAAAAUUCGGCAUACUCCGUCCUGUGAAAGUAAAGACAAGACUGUUGGACCAGUAAAAAAAAAAAAAAAAGAGAGAGAAACUUCAGACCAGUGGUGGUGAAACUAUGGCACACUGCCAAAGUGGACACGCAGAACCCUCUCUGUCAGCAUGAGAGCCAAAUCUCCCCAGCCAAGCUUUGACAAAUUACCAGUAUGCAGACAACAGCAAAGAUCACAUUAAAGGCCUUCAAAAUAAUAAGUCAGAAGUUACUUGUGUUUUGAUAGUAACCAUGAAGAAGAGUAUAAACAAAGAUAUUCAUUAUGAAGUAGAUUACUGUUGAAGAGAUUUUGCUGCCAGGAGUGGAGCACCUUUCCUGUGCCAUGCCCUUCUGCCGUGAUGCCUCUGCUUUGCAGUCAGCUGACCAUGGACUAAAAUCCCUGAAACUCUGAGCUAAAAUAAAUCUUUCCUCCCUUAAGUUGUGGGUGUCAGAUAUUUUGUCAGGACAGCGAAAAGGUGGCCAAUAUGCAAGAUGUUUAAAUUCUGGAGAUCUCACGUAAAGUAAAGUGACAGUACUGCAUUGUACACUUGAAAUUUGCUGAGAGUGGAUCUUAAGUGUUCUCACCAAACACAAUAAAGUAGCUACAUGAUGGUGUGCACCUGUUAUUUAGCUCAGUUGUAGUGGUCAUUUCAUAAUGUACACAUAUAUCAAAG
This 1194-nucleotide long non-coding RNA is filed under the name Heterocephalus glaber (naked mole-rat). RNAcentral describes it as "lncRNA (ENSHGLG00000040555.1)". The record is from RNAcentral. Lineage: Eukaryota; Metazoa; Chordata; Mammalia; Rodentia; Bathyergidae.